UUUUUAUUAUUUUAUGUUGGUUGGAUGGUACUCACUGUUUUUUGGUGUCAAAUCUGACAUUCAAAUUAAAAUUCUCUUGAGAAUCUUUAAGUGCGCUGAAAGUAGUUAUUUGUGAAGUCCAUUUGUUAUUGUUCGUUGUUUUUCUUUUUGAUUUGCAGUUUUCGUUCCUUUUUUAUUUGUUUUGUGGUGUUUCGUUCCCAUUUUGUCGUUUCAACUCGUUUAGUGUUUCGUUAUUAUUUCAUAGUUUAAUUAGUGUUUGUUUUUUGUUGUUUUGUUCCUAUUUGGUCGUUUAACUUCAGUUAGUGGUUCGUUAUUAUUACAUAGUUUAAGUUGUUACGUUAAUUUUACUGGGACGAAAAUGCGGUUCCACAAAAAAUGCAUUGUGCCCCAGUGCCCUGCCAAGUACUCAAAGUCUUUCCAUCAGUUUCCCUCUGAGCCCCUCUUAAGAGAAAAAUGGCUACAUAAAGUAGAGAAGUUUUGUUCUCCAACGCAGCAGAUCGUCAGUCAGUACUCAACCAUUUGCAAUUUGCACUUUAAACCCACAGAUUUUAAAUUUGCAGCAAAUGGUAGUAAACGCUUGCAAAAAAAUGCAGUUCCAACAGUUUUUCAUGUAUAUUUAUUUACAUUUUAAACUUAACAGAAAUAAAAUUAUAGUUUUUAUAGGG
Zophobas morio is the source of this 665-nucleotide long non-coding RNA. RefSeq lists it as uncharacterized. The transcript is spliced from 2 exons. The record is from RefSeq and is a predicted model, not a curated record. NCBI's taxonomy places the organism in Eukaryota, Metazoa, Arthropoda, Insecta, Coleoptera, Tenebrionidae.